AGCAACCGGGGGGGAGGAGGGCACGACGCGGCGCUAACACGCCGGUUAGCUAGCGACCGCGCUGCUAGCCGGGGGCGGACAGCGGAGCCCACAGCCUCGCGCCGAACACGACGCACGAGCCGAGCGACCUCACACCCGCUUGAUUUGAACCGAAGCUCGUGCUCGUUCGACCGGGUGCUCCGGCUGACACAUGCGGGCUGACACCGCGGCGGCGGCGGCUCGCUAACAUUAGCCACCGGCUCAACUUACCUCUUUGAGUGAGGGAGAAGAACUCUGUACGGAGGAGACGUAGCGGUCCACUUCAGCCUUACUCCGCCGCAUGGCUCCAGAGACAGCGGACUAAGCGUUGACUGCCCAUGGCGAUGGUGCGCAGUCUCAAAUCCAGCAAACUGCAGGAUGUCACGUGGGCCGAGCGCUUUCUUGAAUCGCCCUCCUUAAACCAAUGAGGAGGGAGUAUUCGGCAUGACGCACGCUGACGCACUUCACUUUACAGGAAGUCCCGGGCUGUGACGGGGUCCUCAACUGUUCGACACCGAUUAAAUCCCAAUUAAUGCGCCGUUGUUUUUACAAGUUUGCAGUUCAAAGUUUGAACCUGUGUGUGAAUAAAACAUGGAAUAAUACAAUAAACUAUGCAAACUUGAAAAUUUUAAGCAAGAAAAUAA
This is a long non-coding RNA of Scophthalmus maximus (turbot), 662 nucleotides long. RefSeq lists it as uncharacterized. The transcript has 2 exons. The record is from RefSeq and is a predicted model, not a curated record. Lineage: Eukaryota; Metazoa; Chordata; Actinopteri; Pleuronectiformes; Scophthalmidae.